AUAUUUCUUUAUUGUAUAUUUAGAACCUUUCUUUUCUGCUGGUUGUAAAUUCUAUUAAACUUAAUAGUGUGCUUAUUUUAAUUUUUGCAGAAAGGUUUCACUGUUCCUGAAGAUCGUAAAGGAUAUGUGAUAAAACAAGCAUCAAAGAGGUGGAGAGCAUUCAAGGCUAGAUUAAGAAAAGAUUUUAUGUAAGAGUGUGACGAGGAGGGAAAUGCUACAGAUGUCAUUAUCUGGACACCACCGAGUUUGUAUCCAUGGAUAACCGUAGAUGAUUGGAAAAAGUUCGUUGAAACAAGUAUUGAUAAUAAGUUUAAGGAAUUGAGUGAACUGAAUCGAGAAAGGGCUAAAAAGAGGAAGACUUCUUAUCGUGGGGGUCGAAAAGGGUACUCUUAUUAUGAGGACGAGAUUGCUAAGGAAUUGCAGAAUCAAGGAAUUCAAGUUGUAGAUGUACCUCGGCAUUUGGUUUGGAUUAGAGCUCAUUCUAGAGAAGAGGGAGGAGUUCUAAAAUUUGACAAUCUGGCAAAUUUGGAAAUAGCUCAAGCAAUUAAAGAAUUAGAGGCUCAAUAAUAAUCAAGGAGAAAUUGAUGCAUCAGGGCGCAAUAAUAUAUUGGCAAGAGCAUUAAACACUCCUGAACAUGGUGGUUGUGUGAGGGCCGUAGGAGGUGUCACAAACAAGGAGUAUUUCGGGUACAAGAAGCCUACACCCGCUAACCAAGUGCAAUCAGAGCUCAAGCAAGUCAAAACAAAGUUAGAAAAUGUGACAAACAAUCAAAAUUUUCCGAUGUCUUUUAUUAUGUCUAAUUUUCAAUUGACUCCGAAACAAUUCCAACAAAUUCAACUUGGUAGUUCAAGUGCCCAAUUUGGGGGAUUUGGUGUCAACCAUGAUGUGUACAGUGCUACAUUUGGUGAAUUACUUAGCAGCCAUGGUUUAGAUGGAUCAGGUGAUAGGCAAAUAAUUGGUGAAUUGGGUAAGAACCAAUCACACCUUCUACUCAUUCUAUACUAUCACAAUCAUCAUCCACCAAGUAUGUGAUCACUCCUGAGGAGAAAUUGAAGUUGACCACCAGUUUGGUGCGCUUUGUAGGAAGUUAGCUAUUGAAAUGAAAAAGAGUGAAAAAACCAUACCUAUCAAAGUCCCGAAGAAUGUGUUUUAUAAUGAGCAGGAAAUUACCAUUGAUUAUGAAGAUAUGCGUGAUUGGUGCUUUCAAAGAAAGAUAGGAACAAGUCGCAUGACAACUUUUAUGAUGUAAGUGUGGUGAUAAUAUAAAUGGUGAAUUUCACUUUACUUAGUUGAUUUUUUUUUACUGUUCUAAUUGAUUUUUUUGUUUUUGUUUUUGUUAUUAUUAUUAUUAUUAUUAUUAUUAUUAUUUUGAAAGGCACUUGAGUGAAAUGGUUCAUUCACUAGGUAUCUCAGGAAUCUAUGCAUUUUGUGAUUCUAAUUUCAUAUCCCCUGAAACUCCAACGCAAGAAAAUGAAAAUGAUCGAUGUGACUAUUUGGUUAGAGUCUUUGCUCGCAAUAAUGCACAAAAUUGAAACCAAAUAUUCUUUGCUCCAUACACUGAUAACAUGCACUGGAUGUUGGCGGUGAUUUGUCCACGGGUUGGAUUAGUACAUUGUCUAGAUCCAGCAGGAGCAGAAUUUCAACCUCAUCAAUUUGCUCAAGAUAUCAUCAAUAAGUAUAUGCAUGAGCUUUUAAUUGUUAUAUUGUAAUCUUAUUAGGUUAUUAGUUCUGAUAUUAGAAGGAAAAAAAAAAAAAAAAAAAAAAAAAAAAAAACUAAACCAGUCCUUAUGGCAAUACAGGGCAAUUUUGAGAUUUAACUUGGAGUACCGAGCAGAAAUUAAGUGGAAUAAGAAUUCAGCCAUUAAAUGGAAACAAGUAGAGUGCCCUCGUCAAGAUUUCGACUUCGAUUGUGGAUAUUAUGUUUGUCGUUACAUGAUAGAGACAAUUCAAUCUAGAAAGUCAUAUGUACCAGACAAGGUAUUACUCUUCCUUAAUUGUAUGCAGAGGUGAGCUUUAGGUCUUGCAAAUUUAGACAACCUACUGGUAGUUUCUAGCAAUUUAAUGUGAUUUUUUUCAAGGUUUAACCGGUAAUUUCUUGUUCAUUUUCCUGUUUUAUUUUCAACUACUAUAAUUCUUAUCUCAUUAUGUAAAAUCAUAGAGCAUUCUUCUUGUGAAUUCAUUAAGGACCUACAUUAUAUUGCUUAUUAUAUAUGUUAUGAAGAUCUACAUUUGUAUUGGUUACCUAAAUAAUAUUGGUUUGCUGCUAUAUUAAGAAUCUUUACUCUAUAUAAGAGUGUAACAAAGCUAUAUUUAGCUCACUUUUCUAUAUAAUCUUGACUGGAAAACUAUUACCCAGAAAACUAUCACUUGACUGCUUGAUUGAAGGAUUUUUGGCAAUCAAGCAGAAUAUUCAGAGUACAAACUAUCACCCAGAAAACUAUCACUUCACUGGAUAUGCAAUCUUUGAUUCACAAUUUCUACAGGAUUCACAAUCAGUUAAAUUUAACAAAACUAACAGUUUUCAACAAGUUCUAUAGCUUUCCUUUUAAUUCAGAGUACAAUAAUCUAUGCUACAACUCAUAUUUUCUAUGAAGCUUAUUAGGUACCAAGUUAUAAGUCUGCUAGACUAAUAAAAGUGUAUACCCAUUACCCAGUUGGACAGUUAGCCCACCUACUUGCCUAUCUAACUGCUAACGCAUUAUGCUUAAAGCAGAAAGAAAUGAAGCAGCCUGAUAACACUUGAGCCAGGCACUACAAGCUUGACUAAGACAAACCCAAACAGAUGCAAUGAUUUCAGAGCUUUUUUCUCCCAAAAUUUUUUUCUUUGCUUGUUUACCAGACAAGGAAGGGGCUAGAGGGCAGAGGGGAGGGUGGAUAUUUUUCAUCUACUUAGAAUCCUAAUAAAAACUCUAGAUCACCACCAAACAAAACCCCUCACCUAUCAAGCAAGAAGAUGAUAGCCUACAAUAGAGCCAAUGCUUUUGACAUGACUCUGGCAAAACUUAUGAACUAAAAGUUAGCAAAAACACAGUAUAUUACCCUUUAUGAGGUGUGUGAAGUGGCUGAUACAAAGCAACAACAUGCAACAAAAACCCAACUCAUAAAAUUUAAUGAAGUGGCUCCCACCAAGGUUUCCAUCAGUCCAUAGGCUUCACCAAGGGCAAUAAAUAUAUCAACCCAUUUCAGCUUAUAUAGCUUAUAAUACAGUCCUUAUAACAAACAUUAUGCACGGAAGCAACCAAGACUCCUAAUCGUGACUUUAUACAUUGUGUCCUAGCAAUGUGUAUAAAUGUAAGGAUAAUAUUACUGAAGAAGCCUCCUAAUUUUUCUCUGGUUGUUCCAGUUCCUAAGGAUAAUAUAAGUAUCUGUUAUAAUCUGAUGGUUUUAUAGGGUAGAA
Chenopodium quinoa (quinoa) is the source of this 3398-nucleotide long non-coding RNA. RefSeq lists it as uncharacterized. The transcript is spliced from 6 exons. The record is from RefSeq and is a predicted model, not a curated record. NCBI's taxonomy places the organism in Eukaryota, Viridiplantae, Streptophyta, Magnoliopsida, Caryophyllales, Amaranthaceae.